RNAcentral lists this unclassified non-coding RNA (240 nucleotides) under Glomeraceae sp. RNAcentral describes it as "partial contains 5.8S ribosomal RNA and internal transcribed spacer 2". The stretch from base 1 to 71 matches the Rfam family "5.8S ribosomal RNA", at positions 84 to 154 of the family's 154-position model. The record is from RNAcentral. Lineage: Eukaryota; Fungi; Glomeromycota; Glomeromycetes; Glomerales; Glomeraceae.
GUGAAUCAUCAAAUUUUUGAACGCAAAUUGCGCUUCCUGGCAUCCCGGGGAGUAUGCCUGUUUGAGGGUCAUUAUUAGUAAAAAAGCGGUUUAGUUACAAAUUGUGACGGUGCCGGAGUUUGGGCUAUCUUAACAUUUUUAUUUAAGAGGCUGAAAAUUUACCUUUUUUGCGCAUUUUUAAACGUACAUAAAUUUUUUUUAUUCGUCUAUUCGUAAUGCCAAAAUCUUAGUAGUCGCGUU